AAAGCUAGAGAUAGCAGUUAUAGAUAACUACAAAACUAUAAAAAUGAUCAGAGAAAUGGGGCUGCAGCUUGAGACAGAUGUGUGUCAAGCACGUGUUUCUUGUCUGGACUAGGAAAUGUUAUCGCAUAUUCAUAUGCUGAUUGAAAUUCCUCUAGAGGAGAAAGAAUCUCUAUGACGAAUAGAGAGGGGAACUAUUGCAGAAGCAAAGUCCUUGAGAAGGCAGGAAGCCUAGAAUUCAGAUCCGAAGUAGAAGAAUUGGCCUUCAACAGGAAGAUGACCAUGGGCAUGGAUUGACAAACAUAGUAGGUGGAGAAACACUUCCUUACAGAGAUCACAUGCAAAGAAGCUUAACUACAGCCCAGUUGUCUGGAUUCCACUUUUGGUAUUCUUCUUAGUAUGGGGCAUUCCACGGGACAGGUGCCACUUUGCUUAGGGAGGUACUUAUGAGCACCUUCCAUCAGGGGGAAUAAUUGCUUCACUACAAGAGCUACUCUUUCUACAAGAGUCCAAGUUAAUCAAAGUAGUGGCAAUAAAACUCAACAUUCCUACCUUGGAAUAGUUUUUCUUGCUUUUAACCUCCCUCCUUCAGAGAAGAGAUGGUUAUUGGCUAAUAUACUUUGUAUGCACCCAUUUCAGCAGGUUACUGUCUUAAAUGCAAUGAAUACAAUGAAAGGAAAAGAAAAUUGGCUGCUGGGAACACAUUGAGGCUGUUGUCUUAAUUUGCAUGUAUGUUUAUAAAAAGUAUUGAACUGUAUUAUGAAAAAAACUACACAUGAUAGUGAGUUAAGAUGUUGGAAAAGCUUCAGAGACCAAAAAAGAAAAGCUAAAGGUAUUUAAUUUGGUCAUAUCAACAUGACUGUGUCAUUUAUAUCAGGCACUUACCCAUAGGCCCUAUAGAAACAAGCAUGAGUAUUAUUAAAAGCAUUCAUAGACCUCCAGUAAACUUUAUUUGGUUUUAACUCUAAACCCUAAGUAUGUUUUUUUCAUAGUUGAUUCUUCUUCUAAUAACAUUCAUUAACCAGAAUUUAUGGUAUUUAUUUUGGCUAAUAUUUACUGAGCUCUUGCCAUAUGACAGGCACUGUGUAAACACUUUAAUUGAUAUCUAAUUUAAUCUUCACCACGAUCUUUGAAGUAGAAAUCAUUGAUAUUCUUAUUUUGUAGAUUAGGGAAUCAAGGCACAAAAAGGUUAAUCAACUCACCCAGGUUACACUACAUGAAACAGGGAUAGCGAGGACCAGUACUCAAGCAAUCGCCAGAUCACAACUUUAAAUCUUUCAUGAUCACUCUAACUUCAGCCCUGAAUGUGCAGAGAUAAGAACAGUUAGCGAGUGAACUUACAGAUUAUACUUAUAAAAUGAUUAUUUUUAGGUUCAUGGUCCUUCCAUACAGGUUAUACUGUAGUAUGGAAUACUAUGCUGCCAUAAAAAAGAAUAAGAUCAUGUCUUUUGCAGGGACAUGAAUGGAGCUGGAGGCCAUUAUUCUUAGCAAACUAAUGUCAGAACAGAAAGCCAAAUACUGCAUGUUCUCACUUAUAGGUGGGAGCUAAAUGAUAAGAAUACAUAGGCACAUAGAGGGGAACAACACACACUGGAGCCUAUCCGAGAGUGGAGGGUGGGAGAAGGAAAAGAAUCAAGAAAAAUAACUAAUGGGAACUAGGCUUAAUACCUGAGUGAUUAAAUAAUCUGGACAACAACCCCACAUGACACAAGUUUACCUAUGUAACAAACCUGUACAUGUACCCCCAAAGUUAAAAUAAAAGUUAUCAAAAAAGUGACCUAAUGAUAUCUUAUUUUCAAAAUACCCACUCUCUGUUCUACAUUCAAUUCACAAGGUAUUUUAGAGACUAGAC
RNAcentral lists this long non-coding RNA (1849 nucleotides) under Homo sapiens (human). RNAcentral's name for it is "HSALNT0019673". The record is from RNAcentral. Lineage: Eukaryota; Metazoa; Chordata; Mammalia; Primates; Hominidae.